RNAcentral lists this ribosomal RNA (1077 nucleotides) under uncultured bacterium. RNAcentral describes it as "bacterial SSU rRNA". It matches the Rfam family "Bacterial small subunit ribosomal RNA", at positions 61 to 1136 of the family's 1533-position model. The record is from RNAcentral.
GUCGUGCGAGAAGUAUCUUCGGAUAUGAGUAGAGCGGCGGACGGGUGAGUAACGCGUAGGAAUCUACCUAGUAGAAGGGGAUAGCCCGGGGAAACCCGGAUUAAUACCGUAUACCUCCUUCGGGAGAAAGAAGGCCUCUCUUUGAAGCUUUCGCUAUUAGAUGAGCCUGCGUAAGAUUAGCUUGUUGGUGAGGUAAAGGCUCACCAAGGCGACGAUCUUUAGCUGGUCUGAGAGGACGAUCAGCCACAUUGGGACUGAGACACGGCCCAGACUCCUACGGGAGGCAGCAGUGGGGAAUAUUGGACAAUGGGCGAAAGCCUGAUCCAGCCAUACCGCGUGUGUGAAGAAGGCCUUCGGGUUGUAAAGCACUUUAAGCAGGGAGAAAAAGUUAUAAGUUAAUACCUUAUAACCGUGAUGUUACCUGCAGAAUAAGCACCGGCUAAUUCCGUGCCAGCAGCCGCGGUAAUACGGAAGGUGCAAGCGUUAAUCGGAAUUACUGGGCGUAAAGCGCGCGUAGGUGGUUUGUUAAGUUGGAUGUGAAAGCCCUGGGCUCAACCUAGGAACUGCAUCCAAAACUAACUCACUAGAGUACGAUAGAGGGAGGUAGAAUUCAUAGUGUAGCGGUGGAAUGCGUAGAUAUUAUGAAGAAUACCAGUGGCGAAGGCGGCCUCCUGGAUCUGUACUGACACUGAGGUGCGAAAGCGUGGGUAGCGAACAGGAUUAGAUACCCUGGUAGUCCACGCCGUAAACGAUGACAACUAGCUGUUGGAAGACAAUGUUUUUCAGUGGCGCAGCUAACGUUUUAAGUUGUCCGCCUGGGGAGUACGGCCGCAAGGCUAAAACUCAAAUGAAUUGACGGGGACCCGCACAAGCGGUGGAGCAUGUGGUUUAAUUCGAUGCAACGCGAAAAACCUUACCUACUCUUGACAUACUUGGGAGCUCUUGUAAUGAGAGUGUGCCUUUUGGAACCAAGAUACAGGUGCUGCAUGGCUGUCGUCAGCUCGUGUCGUGAGAUGUUCCGUUAAGUCGGAUAACGAGCGCAACCCUUACCCUUAUUUGCCAGCGAUUCGGUCGGGA